This 315-nucleotide long non-coding RNA is filed under the name Helianthus annuus (common sunflower). RNAcentral's name for it is "sRNA HanXRQr2_Chr03g0115411". Lineage: Eukaryota; Viridiplantae; Streptophyta; Magnoliopsida; Asterales; Asteraceae. The record is from RNAcentral.
UUUGCAUCAGAUUGUAGCACCGCAAAACCACUCCUAAUGUUUUGUAGGAUUUGAAUGUCAAAUGUGUCUUCGCUCCCAUGAUCCAUUGGUAAUCUGACUCCAACGUCUCCAUUUUUAGGGCAUGUCGAUGUCAGUUCAGGUAGCAAACGAGGGUUGAUACUUGGGUCUGGACCACCAAGCGAUGCAAAGUUGUAGAGUCGUUCCUCCAUGAAGAAGCACGCAGUUGAACCAAUACCAUGGCCACAAUAUCCGCACAUGAAACCACACCAGGACAUAUACUUUCCAACUUUGCUUUUGCAUCCUCUAUUAUGUUAA